CUGCGGUUGUUUUCAGGACUGAAGACAACAGCUCCACGAUGUAUCUUUGCAUAAGAAUACACUUGUAUAAUAAGUUUUUUUUUUUAGAGAAAUUGCAUGUAUCUGCCUUAUAAACUUUUUCAUUCAUUCAUUUUCUUUCUUCCUAAUCUGUUCCAUAAAGCAAAUUUCUAACUUAUUGUUAAUCAAAAUAAUUAUUGAAAUAAUUAGUACUUUCAUAUGAUAAAGAUUAUUUUAAUCUGCAGCUACAAAAUAUGUAACUCAUUAAUAUUUAAACAAUCACAAUUUUCUAUUAACAUUAUAGCAUUUUAUCUACUACUAGAUCAGGAAUUAGCUAUUUUUUGUAAAAUUUCUUUGUAAGGCAAAGCAAUAGUAUUGUAUAUACUUUCCUAAAGAUUGUCAAGUUCAGUUUUGCUUAAAUUUAACAGUACAUGUGACACUUUCUGUUUGAAGAAUAAGUUGGUUUUAAGUUUAUACCAAACAAAAGCAUCUCUUUUGUUUUGCAAAAUCUGAAACUUUGAUCUUUCUAGUUGUGACUUCUUGUAAAUAUGUUUUAUAUAAAUAUUCUAUGAAUUGGUUAUUAACAAGGUAAAGAAAGAUUGAUAUGUAAGCUGAUUCUUAAACAUUAAUUUUCUGGAGAUAAACUUUUUUAAAAUUAUGCUUUAAAAAUAUUUUAACACAUGUUAUCAAAAAGGAACUGAAAUAUCUUAGGCAUAAAAGACAUCUCUAGAGGUCAUUAUUCAGUUUCCAGAAAGUACUGAAACUAUCUCUGACAGAUUGAUACGUUUUCUGCAUUUAUAGCUCUCUGGAGAGAGGUUCUGUAUAUUUAACAAUUCUCACUGUGAGGGAUAUUUUAAGUAUUUCAAAUUUAAAGUGCUCAUGUUUCAGAUUCAGAUUAUUAUUAUCAUCAUCAUUAUUUUGGUUCUGGCUUCAGUAAAAAUGUGAAAAACACUUUUCCAUCUUCUGAUAAUAUUUCAUAUUUAUAAAAUUAUUAUUAAGUUAUAACUCAGCUUUUUCAUUUAUGCUUUAAAUCCUUUUAUUAUCUCAUCACAACCAUCUUUGACUGUUUAUCAGAAAUGGUUCUCUUUUGUACAUUGACCAUUAUUUUAUAGAUCACAUUUAAGUUAAUAUAAAUCAUGCCUAUAAAUUUCAGCCUGCUUAUUUUUUAUAAUCUAGUCAGAUAUCAGCUAGACAUAUUGUUACCAAGUUUGGAGAGCCUUGGGAUAAGCUAGUUUCAAAACUGGCUGUUAGCAUCCCUCAGUUGUGUUUUGGGAGCAAAGGACACCCUUAAAAAAGGGAGGCAGUUAUAUUUUGUGAGCAUUAUAAAAUAAACUUAAAUUCUCAUAAAAUUAGUGAAUAUGUUUGGAACAGUGUGAAUUACGUGUGUGCUACAUGAAGUAUAUAGAAUUCAUUUGAAGUAGGAAGUCUGGCCUUACCUCAAAAGACAGUCAUUCAAUUAAGCAGUUAAACAUAAGCCACCAUAAGAAGUUUUUUUGAUACUUAGAGAGAGAAAGGCAACGUGUAUUAAAAUUCCGGGACCAUUAUCUCAGGAGUGCUGUGUUAUUAUUGACUGGGGGCCUGCUGGGAAGCUAGAAAUAUAUCUAAAAUGUGGCAGGUGGUUAAUUAGAGCAUAUGAAUAAAUAUAUAUAAAUUUGUUAAAGCGUUCACUUAUGGUAAACUAUACCUCAAUUAAAAAGAAAAAAUAUGCACAAAGAAAAUAAAUAAUGAAUGGAAAUAUGAGCCUCUAAAAUCAAAGUUAGAAAAGCAGAUAUUCAAAUUUGCAGAGCUGAUUGUCAACUGGAAUGAUUGUGAUAGAAUCAAGUCUCACUAGCUCAUUGGAAAUAGGAUUUGUUAAGGUAAUGAUGGUUAAUGAUUUUUCAGCAUAAUAACAGCCAAGUUAAUGUAUGGGUGCGUGUGUGUAUCCAUAGGUGUAUGUUUUUACAUGCGUAUUUUUAUUGUAAAAUUAACAUGUUUAUUGAAAACAAGAAAGCACAGAAAAUAUCAACUUAAGUAAAGAUCAACAUAAUUUAGUUCAAAAUUAUAUUCAACAGUGCAUUAUUUCAAUGUUUUUUAUCUUAAUCCAUUUGCUUGAAAGCAUUGAUAUAUGCUCCAAAUUUCCUCCCAGAUUCCACUUGGGGAAAUAUUUAGUAUAUUGGAUUAUGAAAUGAUUUAUCUUUACCUAUAUUAUUAGUAAAGUUCUUAAAAUUUUUAGCCUGUUACUGUCUAUGUGAUUAGUGAUAUUGUUCACAUGACUAAAAUUCAAAGAUAAAAUAUGAUUAUAUUUUAUGGGUGAAAGUUAGGAAGCAAAAUAGCAUAUUAAUACAUUUAACUAAAGUAGUAUUCAUUUGGAUAAUCAAGGUCAAACACUUCAAAAAUAAUAAUUUUAAAGUUAAUGCUUUCAAAAAAUAAAUUAGCAAAAAUUAUUUACUUUGUUUCUUAAAAAGAAGAAUUAUUGAAAAAAAUUCUACCAUCAAAAAAUAGUUGUUCUAUGCCUAGUUUAUUUUAGUCACUGAAUAAGACUGAGCCCUUGACCUCAUAUUUUUUCCUGCCUCACCAUUAGCAGUUAGGUUUAGCUAUGCAAACCUUUAUUUAUUCAACAUAUAUAAAAUACUUAGUAUGCAGUAGAUGUUAUUCUAAGUGCUUGGUAGAUAUCAACACAUUUAAUAAUCAAAACAACUCUAAGAGGUAAUUAGUACUAUUAUCUCCAUUUUAUUACUGAGGAAACCAAAGCACAAAGAGAGAAAGAAAAGAAAGAGAAAAAAGGAAGAAAGAAAAGAAAGAUGAAAGAAAGAAAGAGAAAGAAGAGAGAGGGAGAGAGAGAAAGAAAGAGAAGGAAAGAAAGAAGGAAGAAGAAAGAAAGAAAGAAAGAAAGAAAGAAAGAAAGAAAGAAAGAAAGAAAGAAAGAAAGAAAGAAAGAAAGAAAAAAGGAAGGAAGGAAAAGAAACACAUGGAAAGUGCUUCUUUGGACCUUUUAAGUUGCAUUAUCCCAUAAAAUGUGGUGGAUUCAAUGUUGUAUGGCCUGUAAAACUAAGUAAUGAAGGCUGAUAUGUACCCACCUGGCUCUGUCUUGGGAUCACACAACUUGGGAGCCAAAACAGAUUGCAAAUGAUGUUCAAAUCAAGGACUGGCUUAAGGGAGAAAAUCAAUUAUACUGUACAACUCACACUUAAGACCUCAGAGAGAUCUAAGAUGAUUCUUUAUAUAAUUUUUAAAACAAUCACCCCUCUAAGGAGCAUAACAAUGUGUUUUAAAUGUCCUCCCCAUUAUACAGUGAGACUUAUAAGAAUCUCAAGGAUGGUGUCCCAAGGCAAACUCAUGGCAAGAUCAAGAAAGAGAAUGGCCUGUCUUGACAAGAUUUGUGGUUUUGGCUUUCGUCUGAUGGAAUGAAUUGUACACAAAUACACAGAAAUCCCACAAAUAUUAAAAUAAUUGUAUCAACUUGUAAGAAAAAGGGAAAGAAAUAGCUUAAAAUGGAAUAUUGCUAAGCCCUCAAACCUUUACAAGCAGGAAAUAGGUGUAAACAGGCUUAGGAAAAUGGAAGGUGGACUCAGGGCAGAUUGAGGAGAUCUUGGAGUGCAGCAAAGAGCCAUAGAGAGCAAUUUCCAGGGAGUAGGACUGAACUCUAACCAAAUAAUUGGCAGCAUGUGCCUGGCAUUUCAGGAUUGACAUGGACCGGUGACUACUGUGUUCCUUCCCAUUCCCCACCCUUUUGUGUAGGAUUGUCUGUAGCAGUUUCCCAAUGCCUGUUCCUCCACUUGACGUUGGGUAUUUGGAGAACAAGAAAAAUUCUCUUUUUAGGUCAGAUGUGUGACAUGUAUCACAUUGUAAAAAAGAGUGCUCAAUGAGCUGUAUUUCAGGAAUUGCACUUAAGGGGAAUUAUUUUUACCUAUAUUGGAUUAAUAUGAUAAGAUUUUGAACUUUGAGCUUAUGUAAUUAUGAAGUGAGACCUUUAGUCUUGGGGAAUGACUGUAUUUUAUAUGCGAGAGGUAUAUAAAUCACUGUGGCCUGAAGAUAGACUGUGGCAGAUUGUAUUUUUCAAAGAUUUCCUGUCACACUUUUUUUUUAUUCUUUAUUUUUCUCUUUCUUUCUCUUUCCUCUUUCUCUUUCCCUUCCUCCCUUCCUUCCUUCUUUCCUUCCUUCCUUCCUUCCUUCCUUCCUUCCUUCCUUCCUUCCUUCCUUCUUUUCUUUCUUUCUUUCUGAGAGGGUCUCACUCUGUUUCCUGGCUAGAGUGGUGUCACAUUCAUAGCUCACUGUAGCUCAAACUCCUGAGUGCAAACAAUCCUCCUACAUCAGCCUCCCAAGUAGCUUGGACCACAGGUGUGCAUCCACUCCUGGCUAAUUUUUUAAUUUUAAUUUUUGUAGAGACGGGGUCUCACUUUGUUGCUCAGACUGAUCUUGAAUUCCUGGCUUCAAGAGAUCCUGCUGCCUCAACCUCUAAACUUGCUGGGAUUGCAGGUGUGAACCACCAUGCCCAGCUACUUUCUUUUUCUUACAAUAUGCCUUUGAUGCUCUUCCCAUCAAGAGGUAUUCCUUUCCCUUGAAUAUGGGCAAGGCUGUGAUUAUUAAUGCUAUAUGACUUUUGAGAGUAGGUCAUGAAGCAUGAUACAUUUUCCUAGUUCAUUUAGGAUGCUUGCUCUUAAUACCUAGCCCCUAUGCUUGUAUAAGUCCAAGAGACCUGUUGUGGGGAGGCUCACAUGAAGAAGAACGCAGGCACCUAGCCUACAGUCUGAUUGAGCUCUCAUCUGAUAACCCAUAAGAACUUGAGAGCCUUGUGAGUAAACCAUCUUGAAUCUUUCAGGACCCAGUUGAAACACUUCAGCUGAUGCUGCAUGGAUCAUUGCGGAUUUGUGAGCAAAAUAAAUUAAUAUAGCUUUUUGUUUUAAUUAAACAAUAUUUUUUGAGACAAGAUCUCAUUUUGUCACCCAGGUGGGAGUACAGUGGCACAUUCACAGAUCACUGUAGCCUCAAAUUCCUAAGCACAGGAGGUCCUCCCACCUCAGCCUCCCCAGUAGCUGAGACCACAGCAUGUGCCACUGUGUCUGGCUAAUUUUUUAUUUUUUUGUAGAAACGGAGUCUUGCUAUGUUGCCCAGGCUGGCCUCAUGUGAUCCACUUGCCUCAGUCUUCCAAAUUGUUGGGAUUACAAGUGUGAGGCACUGCACUGAGCCCAAUAUUCCUUUUUAAGCUACUAAGUUUUGGACUGAUUUGCUUCCCAGCAGUAUACGAUUGAUAAAACACAGAAUAUAGAAUAAAAUUAAUCUCUUAUGUUGUCCUAUGAGGCUUUGUGAGAUUUAGUUUCUACCAACACCCCAAAGUCAUGUCAUACCAUUUUUCACUGUGCUUACUUUGCUUCACUGACUUUUCUCCUGUUUUCUAAAACUAGCUAGUUCUUAUCUUCAGGCUUUGUCAUUGUCAUUCCCUGCUGAGAAUAUUGUCUGUCCAAAUCUUGUAAUUCAGACUCAAAAAUAGUCUGUGGCCACUCAAUCUAAAGUAACCCACCACAAACUCUAGCCCAUCUCCCUAUUUAUUUUCAUCAUGAUAUUUAUAUCUAUCUCAUCUAAAUUUUAUCUAUUUGUCAUCUAUCUAAUUGAAAUUUCAUGUUUCUUUACUACUAAUACGCAAGCUCUGUUAAGACAGAAGUAUUUAGUUUAAUUAGAUCCCAUUUGUCAAUUUUGGUUUUUGUUGCCAUUGCUCUUGGUGUUUUAGACAUGAAGUCUUUGCCCAUGCCUAUGUUCUGAAUGGUAUUGCCUAGGUUUUUGUCUAGGAUUUUUAUGGUUUUAGGUCUAACAUUUAAGUCUUUAAUCCAUCUUGAAUUAAUUUUUGUAUAAGGCGUAAGGAAGGGAUCCAGUUUCAGCUUUCUACAUAUGGCUAGUCAGUUUUCCCAGCACUAUUUCUUAAACAGGGAAUCCUUUCCCCGUUUCUUGUUUUUGUCAGGUUUGUCAAAGAUCAGAUAGUUGUAGAUAUGUGGCAUUAUUUCUGAGGGCUCUGUUCUAUUCCAUUGGCCUAUAUCUCUGUUAUAGGGACACUUUUACACUGUUGGUGGGACUGUAAACUAGUUCAACCACUGUAGAAGUCAGUGUGGCGAUUCCUCAGGGAUCUAGAACUAGAAAUACCAUUUGACCCAGCCAUCUCAUUACUGGGUACAUACCCAAAGGAUUAUAAACCAUGUUGCUAUAAAGACACAUGCACACGUAUGUUUAUUGUGGCACUAUUCAUAAUAGCAAAGACUUGGAACCAACCCAAAUGUCCAACAAUGAUAGACUGGAUUAAGAAAAUGUGGCACAUAUACACCAUGGAAUACUAUGCAGCCAUAAAAAAUGAUGAGUUCAUGUCCUUUGUAGAGACAUGGAUGAAGCUGGAAACCAUCAUUCUCAGCAAACUAUUGCAAGGACAAAAAACUGAACACCACAUGUUCUCACUUGUAGGUAGGAAUUGAACAAUGAGAACACAUGGACACAGGAAGGAGAACAUCACACACCGGGGCCUGUUGUGAGGUGGGGGGAGCGGGGAGGGAUAGCAUUUGGAGAUAUACCUAAUGUAAAUGACGAGUUAAUGGGUGCAGCACCCCAACAUGGCACAUGUAUACAUAUGUAACAAACCUGCACGUUGUGCACAUGUACCCUAGAACUUAAAGUAUAAUAAAAAAAAAAGAAAAAAAAGAAAGACAGAAGUAUUGUUCAUCUUGUUUUCUUCCCUAAUCACGUUACCUAGAACAGUGCCUAUCAGAUAGUAGGCACUCCACAAAUAUUUGUUGACUUAAUGAACCAGUGGAAAUAAAUAUUAAUUCAGUUUUACAUUACACAGCAAAAUAGAAAUCCAAUAUUUAAUCCAGUUCAUAUUACAAAAUAAUACCUUCUUUUUAAAAAUUAAAUCCAUUAAAUUGACAUAGAAAAAUCUUCACCAUCUCAUGACUUUAUAAAAACAAAAUUGGUUUCUAUACCACUUGGAUUAUUUCUACAAAUUCUAUUUAUAUGGUUUGUGUCAAUAAACCAUAGAAAAUAAAAUUUUCAAAUAAAACUUAUAUAUUUGUUAUUUGAUCUUGUUCUACUUAUAUGAAUCUUUUAUUUCAUGCAAAUAAAACCCAAAAUAUGAUUCAGCAACUUUCAGUCUGUUUUUAGAGGCAGAGUCUUGAUAUUUCACCCAGGCUGGAGUGCAGUGUCACAAUCAUGGCUCACUUCAGGCUCAACCUCCUAGGCCCAAAAGAUUUAUUCACCUCAACCUCCUGAGUAGCUGGGAUUACAGGUGUGCACCACCAUGCCUGGAUAAGUUUUAUAGUUUUUGUAGACACAAGGUCUCGCUAUACUGCCCAGGCUGGUCUGGAACUCCUGGACUCAACUAAUCCUUCCACCUCAGCCUCCCAAAGUAUUGGAAUUACAGGUGUAAUCCACCAUGCUUGGCCAAUUUUCAUUCUUUAAUGUUAGGCUUUGAGUUUAGUAUCAAACUUUAAAACAAAAGCAACAACAACAAAAAACAAAAAACAUUUCCAAAAAAGAAAAAAAGUACUGGUAGCAGUCAAUAAAAGAAAAGACUCCAAUUUCCAGGAAUUUGGAAUGUGGAAUCCUGGCAUUAUAGAGAUACAGCUUUUUCAUCUAAUUAAUGUAUAAAAUAGUCAAUACUUUCAUUUUAUUUUCUUGGAGUUUACUCCUUUUCACCCUGAAGCCUGGGUAACAAAGCAAGUGCACAAAAAUCGUUAGAAUAACACUUUUCAACAAGAAGCAGUCCCAAAGUAAGUGAAAGGAAUUUCUUUAGUGAUUUUCUCCCUGAGGGGGAGCAGUAGUCUGAAAUCUCACUGGUAUCUAUUCUGAAAGAAUCAGGGGAUUUAUUUAUGUCAUAAUCUAGUAUUUGCAGCCUGCUUUGAUUUUCCUCGGGAUUUCCUUGGAUAUAUUUUACUGAGAGAAGUGUGAAAAGUACUUCUGAUUUGAGAAGCAUGAAAAGAAAGCCUCAGGCCAGGAGACCAUCUUCUACUCUGAGUCAUCCAUUUGCCUGUUCUGAACAACCUCUACUAUUGGCUCUUGCACAAAGAUCUCCUGAGAGUAGUUGUUGGUAGACUCUAAUUGCCUACUAUUUUUAACUCAUUCCCUUACUCCUUUGAUAAGAGUUGAGAGCCCAAGACUUUAAUGGAUUUUGCACGUAUGUCUUAUUCUAUUUACCUAAUCAUAAUGCAAUUUCACUUCAGCACAAACACAGCCAUAGCAAUCAUGACUUAAUUUUAAUUCCUAACUCACUGUAAGUAAGCCAGCUUAUGCUUUUACUAACCAAUUUCCAAUGCAUAUAAAUAAUAACACAUAUUUGGCAUAUCACAGUGCUUAGCUCUUUCUGAUGAGCAAAAGAUUAUAUAUUUAUUGGUGCUUAUCUUGAUGUUUCACAAGAUUUUUCAUUUAUUUCUAUACUGUUCCCUUAGGUUACUAGGUGCAGUCACUUUCCCUACCACCUGCUUUCCACUAUCUGCUCCUUAUCUUUUUCUUUAGAACCUUGCUUCACCUUCUUCCUCUAUUUGUGACCGCUCUGCAGGUGAUCAGGCUUCCUCCACUUUCCUUACCUUCUGAUUGUCUCAUACCAUCUUCCAUCAUUUUCCACACAUAUUACUUGCUUUAUACCAUACUGUAUUUGUAAAACACAUAAAAGAUUGCUAGUAUUUUUAUUUUAUAGAUGAUGAAACUGAAGUAUGAAAGAUAAAUGACUCACCAGAGGCUAUGAUUUGUGGGCCUUUUAGUGGGUUUAAUAGGAGGAAAGCAAAGGUGAAAUGCCAGAAUAGCGAAGGUGGAGAAAUUUGAGAUGAGUGAUAGAGACCUAAGAAAGUGGCAGUUAAAAUGGUCCAGGGCAUAAAAUGAUGUGAGGAAUAGUAGAAAGAAAAGGAGAAAAAUACCUUAAAAUUGAUGACUCUUCUGUCCUAAUAACUUCAAAGUGCAUUUCAAUUUGAAACCUUUAUCACCUCAUUGCGUGGAGGAGACAAAGGAAAGAAAACAUACAGAGCAUUUGUCUCUUCCUGAAGUUUCCUCAAUUCAUAAAAUCCCUAAGACACUAAGAGAAGAAAAUACUGUGAACAUGUUUAGUUUGAUAUUGGUUAUUGUCAUUUCUUUUCAUUCCUUCAAAUACAUUUUAUAAAUUCAAUUUCACAUAUUAUUUAACCUCAUCUACCUGACAUGAUAUUGUUCUCCUGACACAUCCUGUUUAUUAAAUAUUAAUCACAUAUUUUACUGGUUCCAAAUUAUGCUUUUAUUAUACUUGCUUAUUUGCAGGCGGGGGCUGGGGAAAGGGGGAGUGACUUUCAAUAGAAUCGGGAUCUCUAGUAUGAUCACCCGCAUGAUGACAUCAUCAACAGUAGACUUAAGAAUCCUGUUGGCUCCACUUGCUCUAAAUUUAUCAGUUUCCUCUGGUUCUCUCUAUCAGCCUUAAGGUUGGGUUCCUGUUCAAUACUUUCUUUCUUUUUUUUUUUUUUCUUACUUGUAGGGCCAAUGUGUAGAGCUGCCGACUUUCUUAAUAAUGCAAAUCCAAGGGGUGCCCCUAGCAUUCUGAAAUACGCAAACUUCAAAAACAUAUCUAAUAACCCUGCAUCAGCUCCAUAUAACAGUUUUAAUUAGGGCCCUUAGCAGGGCAUACACUAAUUACUGCAAAGAGCAAACAAAACUAAAAUGAGUAAUAAACAGAAAAUUUAUUUGAUGAGUAUCUACAAUGGGGCAGGUUCAAGGUGUGUUAUAAAUGUUGUGAACUCAAAAGUGGAUAGUAAAGAGCCAGCCCCACUCUCAUGGAGCUUACAUUUUAGUAUGGGUAGGGGCCAAUAAUAAUCAAAUCAAACCAAAUCAAACAAGAUGUUGAAAAGUAAUAAAUGCUAUGAAGAAAAAUAAAAUAGUAUAAUAUCAUAGAAUAGAGAGACAUGGACGCUGUUUUAGGGAAAAAAUGUUACGGGUAUAUAAGCAGAAAAGCAGAUACUCUGAUAAGAGGAUAUAUGAACUGAAAUCUGAAUGAAGCGAAUUAAGUGAGCCUGCCAUGUAAGAAGUAGGAUUUUGGGACAGGGGAAUAGCAAGUGCAAAUAUCCUGAGACAACAGUGUGCUGAGAGUGCUUAAGAAAUAGCAAGGGGGCUCUGUGGCAGGGGUGAAGUGGGCAACAAGUAGAAUGAUAAGAAAUGAUGACACAGAGGAAGCCAGAGAUAAGACCGAGUUCUGACAUUCUUAUAAGCCAUAAUAAGAAUUUUAUUCAAUGUAUGAUAGGAAAUCAUUGAAAGAUUUUAAGCAAGAGUAACACUAUCUGAUUUGCCAUUUAGAAGUCAUUAAGAGGUCAAGAAAUUCUAUAAUUGCUGGUAUGUUCAGAAUAGACUGAGUGAUACAAUAGAGGAAGCAAUGAGGCAAGUUAGGAGGCUACAGAAGUUGUCCAGGUUAGAAAUGAUGGUGUGACUUCAAUGGUAGUGGAGGUAGGGAGAAGGGUGCAAUAAGAACAUAUGCUUAAGGUAGCUCUUGUUACCUUUACUCUGACUGCUAUUCACUGAGGGAUUAGUUAUGAGGUAGGAGAGAAAGAGGGAUGAAAUGUGAUUGUAAGGUUCUAACCCUGAGCAACUAGAUGAAUGGUGAUACCAUUUUCUAUGAUGGGUAACAUUGAAAGACGAAAGUUUGAAAGCAGAUGAUAAUAGGAAUCAAUAUAUUAUGCCUGGAGAUGUUGAGUUGAGUUUGAGGUGCUUACAAGACAAUUUAAUUAGAGAUAAUUGUGGUUUGUAACAGGGAAAGAGGUACUUUUGCAAUGUGCAUGUGGUCACUUAUCUGCUGACUCAACUUGCUGGUGUGAGGAAGCAGCUAACUCUCAGAAAUUUAGGUAGUGUGAAAGAGAAGGCAAGUAUCUAGUAGUAGAGACUAUUUUCACUGUUUGAAUUAUUAUGGAUAGACUGACAGUGGGAAUAUUAUUAAAAUAUGUGACAAGGAAUUCCAGUCAUAAUUAAAGUAAAUAUUUUGCCAGAAAUGAUAACAAAUACCUUUGCACAGAGUUCCCAUUGGUCCCGAAACCUGAAGGUGCUGGCAGUGCCUUUAAGAGGCUAUAGAAUAUGAUCUGCUGUAGUUUUGCUGAGCUUGUUAAAAAUAACCCUUGGCCAGACACAUGCCAUCCUUCAGAAUUAAGUAGAUCCCUCAGCACCUGCUUCCUGUACCCUGUCUUCUGUUACCAUGUGCUUUCUCAGAUACUAAUGGGUUCUUGGCUUUUGCUUCUAGGUAUAAUUGUGAUCUCUUCCCAGGAAAAAGGUAAUGAUCCUGGAACAAGAUAUAUAUGCCUGGUAUAUAUUUAUUAUCUUACAAUUGAGCUUUCAUUACCAAUAAGAGUUCUCUUACCUUGAGUCCUCACCCUGUGCUAAGCUCUUGCAAAACACAUCCCAGAUUUUAUCUCAUUUAAUCCUGGCAACAGUGGUACAAGGCAAAACCUGGUAUUAUUCUCAUUUUUUAUUUAGAGAAAUAUAAUUGUAAAGAAAUUAAGUAAAUUGUGCAAGGCCUCACAGUAAGUUGUAGGACAAUAAAGACGCAACAGGUGCCAUCUACCUCUAAUGGCUGACCACUUACUAUAUUAAAUUGUUCUUGUGAGCAUGGGAGAAUCUUGGGGAAACUAUUAUACAGACUGCUGGAGGUAUGUGACUGGUUACUUUGAAAUUGAACUCUAAUGUGGUCCCAAGAAUUUUUGAAAUCUUGAAAGAGAGUAGAACUUCCAGUAACCCUUCAGAUGUUUCAGAGAAAAUAUCAGGUUUCUGUUUUAAAAUAGAGGUAAUAAACACAUUUUUAAGACAGGCUCUUUUAUUCUAGAAAAAUCUCUUGAGAUAUAUAACUAAACAAAUAAAAGACAGACUCCGAUAUCAGAAAAGCAAUUACAGACCCUUCAUUAUAAGAAGUAAAAAUUGCUCUAUACAAUAGUAGAAAAUAUGGUCACUGUGGUACAUCUCUGCAGCCUGACAUCUGAUUUUUGUUGCUGUUAAUAGAAUGAGACUUGGCUGUUCUAAAAAACUACAGCUUGUCCUGUGGAGAACUGUGAUUACUUCUGAUGGAAAAUGACAGGCUGAAUGCCAGAAGGCAAAGCAACUGUUUUCCUAAGAGUCUUAAGACCCUGAAGGACUUGUGCCUCCUUUGGUGAUCUAGGGGAUAAAGAAGUGGAAUGGAAAUGGAGAGGAAUAGCUGGAACAAAAAGGCAAAGAGGUAUAAUCUAUCAUAAAUAUGCCGCCUUUAUAAGCAUGUGUGUACCAAAAAAAAGCCACAAACCAUAUAAAGUGAGCCUAUAUUAGAAAUAGAAGUAUUUUAUGAAAUAAUAUAUUUAAAAUUUCCAGUAAACAGAAUAUAAAUUUUUCCCAAAUACCCAUAAUAUAUUUACAAUAUUAGAAAAAAAUGCAAGCAGAAUUUAUGUAAAUUAUAUUAAUGGAAUUAACGGAAUAAAAUUAGAAGUUAAAAUUAAAAAUAGCCAAAAUUAAUAUUUGAAAAUAAAAAUAUUUUGUUAUUUGUGUUAAAGGGGAAAUCAAAACUAAAAUUAGAUAUUAUUUAAAAAUGAAUCUUACUAUAUAUCAAAUCACAUAAUAUCAAAAUCAUACUCUAAAGAAAUUUUGUAGCCACAGAUGUAUAUUUUUAGUCUGAUAAAUGAAAUCUGCAUUCACCUCAAGAAGCUAGCGAAACAACAAAACAUUAAGAACUAAAAUCAACAUAAUUUCUGGUCACUUUGUUAAAUAAAAUUGAAACCAGAAUAUUUCCUUGUACCUCUAUUAAGUUAAUACCAAGAACAAGCAAAAAUAAAGCAAUUACUUGUUCUAGAAAAUAUUUUCUCUUUGGAAAUAAGACGAAUAACCAGCUAAAAUAGGUUUUUAAUCAAAACUAACAAAAGUGUUGAUCAAUACUCAUUUCAAGAUCCUGGCUUCAUGGUGCCCAUCAAUCCAAAACUACUUCCUAGACCCUGUUGAAUCUCAACCAACUUCCCCCCUGUCAAGACUAGCUUUAAAAUCACUCAUGAAGGUAUGAGAUUCUAAUAAACAUCUCCCUUUCCCUCUGACUUCUCCUUCUUGAGACACUACACUUGUACUCUAUUAAGGUGAUAGUUUUUCUUCCUGCAAUAGGUCACAUAAACUUAGCUGUCUUCAUCAAUAUUUCUGAAGGUAUUUUGUGAAGUUAACAGCAAUGGAAGAGAAAUAAAUCAUAAAUAUUUGAAAACCAGUUAUUUUAAUAAAAAAAGAAGUGUCUUUUUUUUUAACAGAAUUGCAAAUAACAUAUGGAGAUACUGUGCUCCCAGGAGGUGGAGAUGAAUUAUUAUCCUUUCUUCACACCUUCCCAUUGAGAUUGGGCUAGAUUUGCUGAUAUUUUUCAAAAAAAUAGUGCAGUGAAAAAAAAAAAGGUGCAUUGUUUUAGUACAAGAAACUUGGCACAUUCUACCUCAACCAAAUGAUGAAAGUUAACAUCACAGAUUCCAUGUGGACAUUACUACCUCCCUGGUAUGAUGUGAUGAGAAAGGCAUUUCCCUCUGUGGUAUUAUUUCAAAUGACUGAUAAUUCUGGUCUAAUCAGGAGAAAAACAACACAGAUCCAUUGGAGACUUUCAACAGGACACCUGCCCAGUAUGCCUCAAGACUUUCAAGGUCAUGAAAACCAGAAAGGAGAGAUAAACAAUCACAGAUUAAGACAUUGUGGAAAUUGAACAAUCAGAAGCAAUGAUGUAGCCUAGAUUAAAUCCUAAAUCUGUAAGAGGACAUUGAUGGAAAAACUGGUGACAUCCAAAGAAGUCUUGAAUUUAGUUACAGUAAUAUCCUAAAAGAAAAAAAAUUGAAAUUGAAAGCAAAAUAAAGUACUUCACAAAUAAAUGAGAAAUACAUCAGAUAAUUCAGAUUAUAAACAAAGAGAAAAAAUCAAUUAG
RNAcentral lists this long non-coding RNA (13846 nucleotides) under Homo sapiens (human). Its description in RNAcentral is "HSALNT0315977". Lineage: Eukaryota; Metazoa; Chordata; Mammalia; Primates; Hominidae. The record is from RNAcentral.